UCAGGAUGAACGCUGGCGGCGUGCCUAACACAUCAAGUCGAACGGACGCGUCCCUCGUGGGACAAGUUAGUGGCGGACGGGUGAGUAAUGCAUGAGCAACCUGCCUCGAAGAGGGGAAUAACACAGAGAAAUUUGUGCUAAUACCGCAUAAUGUAUCCGGGGGGCAUCUUCCGGAUAAGAAAGGAGCAAUCCGCUUUGAGAUGGGCUCAUGUCUGAUUAGACAGUUGGCGGGGUAACGGCCCACCAAAUCUACGAUCAGUAGCCGGACUGAGAGGUUGAACGGCCACAUUGGGACUGAGACACGGCCCAGACUCCUACGGGAGGCAGCAGUGGGGAAUAUUGGACAAUGGGCGAAAGCCUGAUCCAGCGAACCGCCGCGUGAAGGAAGAAGGUCUUCGGAUUGUAAACUUUAGUGAGCAGGGACGAUAAUGACGGCACCUGCAUAGCAAGCCACGGCUAACUACGUGCCAGCAGCCGC
This 478-nucleotide ribosomal RNA is filed under the name uncultured bacterium. Its description in RNAcentral is "bacterial SSU rRNA". It matches the Rfam family "Bacterial small subunit ribosomal RNA", at positions 24 to 518 of the family's 1533-position model. The record is from RNAcentral.